UCCCCAGCAGUCGAGUGGUUAAGACUCUGAGCUCUCAAUGCAGAGAACACAGGUGUGAUUCCUGGUUGGAGAA
This 73-nucleotide transfer RNA is filed under the name Bos taurus (domestic cattle). It matches the Rfam family "tRNA". From Rfam's summary of the family: Transfer RNA (tRNA) molecules are approximately 80 nucleotides in length. Their secondary structure includes four short double-helical elements and three loops (D, anti-codon, and T loops). Further hydrogen bonds mediate the characteristic L-shaped molecular structure. tRNAs have two regions of fundamental functional importance: the anti-codon, which is responsible for specific mRNA codon recognition, and the 3' end, to which the tRNAs corresponding amino acid is attached (by aminoacyl-tRNA synthetases). tRNAs cope with the degeneracy of the genetic code in two manners: having more than one tRNA (with a specific anti-codon) for a particular amino acid; and 'wobble' base-pairing, i.e. permitting non-standard base-pairing at the 3rd anti-codon position. Lineage: Eukaryota; Metazoa; Chordata; Mammalia; Artiodactyla; Bovidae. RNAcentral also lists the same sequence under 1 other name. The record is from Rfam by way of RNAcentral.